This is a long non-coding RNA of Clupea harengus (Atlantic herring), 1267 nucleotides long. The record is from Ensembl. Lineage: Eukaryota; Metazoa; Chordata; Actinopteri; Clupeiformes; Clupeidae.
AUGUAAUCACUGCCUUCUCCAGUGACACCACCAGCUGUCCAAUCUAUGAGCUGUGCACCACUCGUCCUUCCCCCGCACUCAGCCCAGACUCAAGGCCUGCCAGCCUGUCUGACUCCUGCUCUUUCUACAGCAGCACUGACUCAGUCACGGGACGACUUGCAGAUUUUUUUCCGAUUGGCCCAGAGAGCAGUCCGAGUGGCCCUAUUGAACAGAAUGGGCCAAUCAGUGGUGAGCCCAUUUAUGCAGAGAGCAGUAAGCGAAAGAGGAGGCCACAAUGGGAGAAGAAGGAACUGCAACAGGAGCAGCCGGAGCAGGAGGUCAAGGCUGGCGAGAGUCAAAGGACCACCAUCACCGUUAUGGCUGCCCACACAGAGAAGAAUAAUCGUACUUUCUACCUGAGCAGCCCGGACUCAGCUGUUAGCACACAGUGGCCACACUUCAGCCCCACUGCACUUGAAGACCCCCGCAGUCCUACCUUCAAGUGGCCCACGCCCACCUUCCCUAUGGAGACCCCCUCAUCCUCAUCAGGCCUUCCUCAGCCCAAGCCCCAGUGUAGCCCGCCCCUUCCACCUAAGAGGAACUCCCGUUCCCCAAAGCUGGGAGCCUCUAGUCUUUCCCCUGUCCCUCUUCUUGAUUUAAGCUUCAUCUCUGUCUCCACCGUGGGCAAAUCCCACCAUCCCAACAGCCUGUCUCCAGGCCUUCUGGCCGGCAACGGCAUGGAGCGGAGGCACAGCGGCAUGGAGAGGAGCAUGGAGAGGAGGCACAAACUGUCCAGUAGCACCUGGACCCAAGAGGUCCGCAUAGAGGAGGAGGAGGAGGAGAAGGAGGCAGAGGAGGGUGUGGCUGAAAAGGUUGGGCUCAGUGAGCAUCCUGCCAAUGGGACUGCUGUCUGGAAAGAGAACAAGGACUGUAACUCCAGUAUGCAGAGUGAGGGCACCGCAGACAAUGGUGCCAGUCAGGAGCAGGCAGUCGUCCGAGUCGUGCAGGGCACUUGGGGUGGCAGCAUGUUGGCAACAGGGUCGACAGCAGCAUCUCUCAUCCACGGUCAUGGCCACCCACGUUCACGUUCGGAAGGAAAGGUUGGUAACCGGGAGGCCACGCCACCUCCACCUCCUCCAAAGAAGCAGCACAGGCCAUGCCCUAAGAUGAGCCGGAGCAGUGUGGAGCUGGAUGGGGUGAGCCAACAGGGAGCAGUGGACAGUCUGACACAGUCUCUGCGAGGGCUGGCCAACAGCCUGACCACUGCCUCCACUGACAGCCUGACGCC